Molecule: long non-coding RNA, 343 nt
Organism: Vidua chalybeata
Lineage: Eukaryota; Metazoa; Chordata; Aves; Passeriformes; Viduidae
Exons: 3
Source: RefSeq, a predicted model, not a curated record
UAGGAUGUCCCGCACAACACAGAUGCACGCUGGUUUUCUAGCACAUACUGCUGGGAUUCAACAUAGCCACAGCUGUUACCUUUUAGGAGCUCUUCACAACUUUCUUUUCAGCACUGCAAGCACAUUUGGGAUGAAGUCCAACCUGUUAUGGCCCUUAUCUUUCUCAACUGCAGGAGGUAAUAUCUGGUCAGCAAGUAACAGGACCAGAUCUUUCAGUCCCUCAUACGGCAAACCUUCAGCACUGGACAGCUACUAGGAAAUCGACACACUGGAAACCCAGACACAAAGAAUGCAGGAGUUUGUAAAGAUUUCAGGAGGCUGCUGAACACGUCCAUGUAAAAAC